CUUGUAGGCGGUUUGUCGCGUCUGCUGUGAAAUUUCGGGGCUCAACCCCGAACUUGCAGUGGGUACGGGCAGACUAGAGUGUGGUAGGGGAGACUGGAAUUCCUGGUGUAGCGGUGAAAUGCGCAGAUAUCAGGAGGAACACCGAUGGCGAAGGCAGGUCUCUGGGCCACUACUGACGCUGAGAAGCGAAAGCGAAUGGGGGAGCGAACA
RNAcentral lists this ribosomal RNA (210 nucleotides) under uncultured bacterium. Its description in RNAcentral is "partial 16S ribosomal RNA". It matches the Rfam family "Bacterial small subunit ribosomal RNA", at positions 568 to 774 of the family's 1533-position model. The record is from RNAcentral.